This 389-nucleotide ribosomal RNA is filed under the name uncultured bacterium. Its description in RNAcentral is "bacterial SSU rRNA". It matches the Rfam family "Bacterial small subunit ribosomal RNA", at positions 28 to 418 of the family's 1533-position model. The record is from RNAcentral.
AUUGAACGCUGGCGGCGUGCUUAACACAUGCAAGUCGAGCGGUAAGGCCCUUUCGGGGGUACACGAGCGGCGAACGGGUGAGUAACACGUGGGUGACCUGCCCUCAGCUCUGGGAUAAGCCUGGGAAACCGGGUCUAAUACCGGAUAUGACUCCAUGACGCAUGUUGUGGGGUGGAAAGCCUUGUGCGGCUGAGGAUGGGCCCGCGGCCUAUCAGCUUGUUGGUGGGGUGANGGCCUACCAAGGCGACGACGGGUAGCCGGCCUGAGAGGGCGACCGGCCACACUGGGACUGAGACACGGCCCAGACUCCUACGGGAGGCAGCAGUGGGGAAUCUUGCGCAAUGGGCGAAAGCCUGACGCAGCGACGCCGCGUGAGGGAUGACGGCCUC